CCCUUAGAUGUUCUGGGCUGCACGCGUGCUACACUGAUAUUGCCAAUAUGUCAUUCUUAUCCGAAAUGGAUUGGGUAAUCAAGUAAUGAAAUUUCAUGCUUGGAAUCGGUAAUUGCAAUUUUAUCGUGAACGAGGAAUUCCUAGUAAGCACUAGUCAUCAGCUAAUGUUGAUUAUGUCCCUGCCCUUUGUACACACCGCCCGUCGCUACUACUGAUUGGGGGUUCAAGUGAGAUGCUUAGACCCUUGUUGCAUGGUUCAUUAUUGUGCUCCGAAAGGAAAAAGUUUCAAGCUUGAGUGUCUAGAGGAAGUAAAAGUCGUAACA
RNAcentral lists this ribosomal RNA (323 nucleotides) under uncultured eukaryote. RNAcentral describes it as "partial 18S ribosomal RNA". It matches the Rfam family "Eukaryotic small subunit ribosomal RNA", at positions 1470 to 1796 of the family's 1831-position model. The record is from RNAcentral.